UGGGGAAUAUUGCACAAUGGGCGCAAGCCUGAUGCAGCCAUGCCGCGUGUAUGAAGAAGGCCUUCGGGUUGUAAAGUACUUUCAGCGGGGAGGAAGGGAGUAAAGUUAAUACCUUUGCUCAUUGACGUUACCCGCAGAAGAAGCACCGGCUAACUCCGUGCCAGCAGCCGCGGUAAUACGGAGGGUGCAAGCGUUAAUCGGAAUUACUGGGCGUAAAGCGCACGCAGGCGGUUUGUUAAGUCAGAUGUGAAAUCCCCGGGCUCAACCUCGGAACUGCAUCUGUUACUGGCAAGCUUGAGUCUCGUAGAGGGGGGUAGAAUUCCAGGUGUAGCGGUGAAAUGCGUAGAGAUCUGGAGGAAUACCGGUGGCGAAGGCGGCCCCCUGGACGAAGACUGACGCUCAGGUGCGAAAGCGUGGGGAGCAAACAGG
Molecule: ribosomal RNA, 429 nt
Filed under: Chloroflexota bacterium
Lineage: Bacteria; Bacillati; Chloroflexota
Description: Chloroflexi bacterium partial 16S ribosomal RNA
Rfam family: Bacterial small subunit ribosomal RNA
Source: RNAcentral